Molecule: ribosomal RNA, 940 nt
Filed under: uncultured organism
Description: bacterial SSU rRNA
Rfam family: Bacterial small subunit ribosomal RNA
Source: RNAcentral
CGCAAGCGUUAUCCGGAUUUACUGGGCGUGAAGCGUCUGUAGACGGUCGGGCAAGUUGGACGUGAAAGCUCCGGGCUCAACCCGGAGAGGCCGUACAAUACUGUCGGGCUAGAGGGGGUCAGAGGAACGUGGAAUUUCCGGUGUAGCGGUAAAAUGCGCAGAUAUCGGAAGGAACACCAGUGGCGAAGGCGGCGUUCUAGGGCCCACCUGACGCUGAGAGACGAAAGCUAGGGGAGCGAACAGGAUUAGAGACCCUGGUAGUCCUAGCCCUAAACGAUGAAUGCUAGGUGUGGGAGCGUAGAGCUUCUGUGCCGGAGCAAACGCGAUAAGCAUUCCGCCUGGGGAAUACGGCCGCAAGGUUAAAACUCAAACGAAUUGACGGGACCCCGCACAAGCAGCGGAGCGUGUGGUUUAAUUCGAUGCUACACGAAGAACCUUACCUGGGUUUGACAUGGACGUGGUAGGGAAGCGAAAGCGGACUGACCCUUCGGGGAGCGUCCACAGGUGCUGCAUGGCUGUCGUCAGCUCGUGCCGUGAGGUGUCGGGUUAAGUCCCGUAACGAGCGCAACCCUUGCCCUUAGUUACAAGUGUCUAGGGGGACUGCCGGCGGGAAGCCGGAGGAAGGUGGGGAUGACGUCAAGUCAGCAUGGCCUUUAUGUCCAGGGCUACACACACGCUACAAUGGGCGGUACAAAGGGCAGCGAAGCCGCGAGGUGGAGCGAAUCUCAGAAAGCCGUUCGUAGUUCGGAUAGCAGGCUGCAACCCGCCUGCUUGAAGCUGGAGUUGCUAGUAACCGCGCGUCAGCCAUAGUGCGGUGAUACGUUCCCGGGGUUUGUACACACCGCCCGUCACGUCAUGGGAGUCGGUAACGCCUGAAGCCGGUAGUCUAGCCUGAGAAGGAGGACGCUGUCGAAGGCGGGACUGGCAACUGGGACGAAGU